AACGCAGAAACGUAUCUUCGGCAUUCUGGAGAAUAUCACUUUCAACUGACCUGAAGACUCGGACGACGCCAAAGUGCCUGAUACAAUCAGCAUAGCCGCGAAGAAAUCGAAGAAAAUGUUGAAAUCAUUUCCGAAAACCCUUCUAGUUCUCGCAUUUCUGGUCGCUCUGACCGACUCCGCUUCUGCUCGCGCAUUCGAGAAAGGAGGCUCGUCGAAUGACCUCCCGAGCAGCUCUGUAGGAAUGGACCCACCGGUCUUCCCUAUGGAGGACUGUAUGCGGGGGCACCUCAAGUGUCGCAAGGAAUGUCAGAGUCAGCAGUGGCGCACAGGAUUCUGUUCGGAAAUCUUUCACUGUCACUGCGUCGCUUGAGUCCCCGGCGGCCUCCCCACAAAUGCCAAAGUUCGUAGGCAGAGAGCCUACUCUCUCAGUCGUCCUGAGCUUCGUGUUCAUUCUAUUUAUCUGCUUUCGCUCCAUGACAGGAUGAAGACAUCGCACGCUGAUUCUGGUCGCGAACAGAAUCGAACUUUGUGAAUGAAGGAAUCUCUUCUCCGGAAAAAAAAAUCUGUAGAUGAUCCGUAGUUAUUCAAUAAAGCUUGUCCACUCGGAUUUGACGUAAGGAAUA
Molecule: long non-coding RNA, 623 nt
Organism: Galendromus occidentalis (western predatory mite)
Lineage: Eukaryota; Metazoa; Arthropoda; Arachnida; Mesostigmata; Phytoseiidae
Exons: 3
Source: RefSeq, a predicted model, not a curated record